This 432-nucleotide ribosomal RNA is filed under the name Escherichia coli. RNAcentral's name for it is "bacterial SSU rRNA". It matches the Rfam family "Bacterial small subunit ribosomal RNA", at positions 1113 to 1533 of the family's 1533-position model. The record is from RNAcentral. Lineage: Bacteria; Pseudomonadati; Pseudomonadota; Gammaproteobacteria; Enterobacterales; Enterobacteriaceae.
UGUUGCCAGCGGUCCGGCCGGGAACUCAAAGGAGACUGCCAGUGAUAAAUUGGAGGAAGGUGGGGAUGACGUCAAGUCAUCAUGGCCCUUACGACCAGGGCUACACACGUGCUACAAUGGCGCAUACAAAGAGAAGCGACCUCGCGAGAGCAAGCGGACCUCAUAAAGUGCGUCGUAGUCCGGAUUGGAGUCUGCAACUCGACUCCAUGAAGUCGGAAUCGCUAGUAAUCGUGGAUCAGAAUGCCACGGUGAAUACGUUCCCGGGCCUUGUACACACCGCCCGUCACACCAUGGGAGUGGGUUGCAAAAGAAGUAGGUAGCUUAACCUUCGGGAGGGCGCUUACCACUUUGUGAUUCAUGACUGGGGUGAAGUCGUAACAAGGUAACCGUAGGGGAACCUGCGGUUGGAUCACCUCCUUACCUUAAAGAAGC